GAGAUCAUGUAGCAAUUUAAUUAAAAACUUUUAAAUACAUUCCUUUGUUAUAGUAUAAUCUUCACGUGUUUCAUCUGAAGCAUACUUUCUGUGUUGUCACUAGGGAUGGGUACCGGUUCUGACAUAAACGGUAGUAACCAGACCGAAAAGCAGCACACAUUUCGGUACUUUUUUUUUUCCUGAGCCAAUUCUAGCCAAUCAUUUUACGUUUCCGAGGAUAGUAGGCGGGGCCAGAUACGUACGUUCUUUUAGAGCAGAGCUACAGAUUAAAAAUGCCCAAGGCGAAGCGAUCAAAAGUCUGGCUGUACUUCACAGCAAAAGAUGCAAACUCAGCAGCCUGAAACAAGUGCUUUAAGCUGAUACUGUGAUACUGUCAAAAGAGGUAACACCUCAAAUCUGAUGAAACACCUGGCGACGCAUAGCGGUUUUUUUAAAGCCGAGAAAUGCGCCAUGUUUGAUGGCUUGCUGCGAGACCUCACACUGUGCACAUCUACUGCAGGUGUGGUGCCUGUUAUCGGACCCGGAGUUAGCAACAUCCCCAAAAACCCGAAGAGUAGAGUCCUGGCCCCUAGCCCUGUCAGCGUAGCAGAAAUGAUGACGGAUGAUGAUGAUGGCAGCAGCCGUUCUUCUCUGUUCCUUUUUGUCCCCAGGUCAUUUACAGCUAUGCAGUAAUACUCUCCAGCAUCAGAAGACUGAAUGGAGCUGAAGAUGAGCUGGGAGUCUUUACUGAGAGGUUUCUGAUCAUUCUGCUUGUACCAGGUGUAACUAGCUGCUGGGUUAGCAUCACUGCUACAGGUCAGAGUCACAGAGCUGCCCUCCACUAUCUCACCCGAGAGAGUCACUGACACAGAGGGGCGUAUUGGAGCAUCUGGAGGAAGAAAAAAAAAACCCAUAAACAUGUGUAAUGCUUUAUUUCGG
Oreochromis aureus is the source of this 918-nucleotide long non-coding RNA. Lineage: Eukaryota; Metazoa; Chordata; Actinopteri; Cichliformes; Cichlidae. The record is from Ensembl.